ACGCUCGACACCUACGAGAGGCAGCAGUGGGGAAUAUUGCACAAUGGGGGAAACCCUGAUGCAGCGACGCCGCGUGAGCGAAGAAGUAUUUCGGUAUGUAAAGCUCUAUCAGCAGGGAAGAAGAAAGACGGUACCUGACUAAGAAGCCCCGGCUAACUACGUGCCAACAGCCGCGGUAAUCUGAGCGGGCGUGGCAAGGC
This 200-nucleotide ribosomal RNA is filed under the name uncultured bacterium. RNAcentral's name for it is "partial 16S ribosomal RNA". It matches the Rfam family "Bacterial small subunit ribosomal RNA", at positions 328 to 538 of the family's 1533-position model. The record is from RNAcentral.